Molecule: ribosomal RNA, 253 nt
Filed under: uncultured bacterium
Lineage: Bacteria
Description: partial 16S ribosomal RNA
Rfam family: Bacterial small subunit ribosomal RNA
Source: RNAcentral
UACGGAGGGGGCUAGCGUUGUUCGGAAUUACUGGGCGUAAAGCGCGCGUAGGCGGUUGGGUAAGUCAGAUGUGAAAGCCCCCAGCUCAACUGGGGAACUGCGUCUGAUACUGCUUGGCUUGAGUCCGAUAGGGGAUGGCAGAAUUCCCGGUGUAGCGGUGGAAUGCGUAGAUAUCGGGAGGAAUACCGAUGGCGAAGGCGGCCAUCUGGGUCGGUACUGACGCUGAGGCGCGAAAGCUAGGGGAGCAAACAGG